AACGAACGCUGGCGGCAUGCCUAACACAUGCCAGUCGAACGAGACCUUCGGGUCUAGUGGCGCACGGGUGCGUAACGCGUGGGAACCUGCCCUUAGGUUCGGAAUAACUCCCCGAAAGGGGUGCUAAUACCGGAUAAUGUCUUCGGACCAAAGAUUUAUCGCCUUUGGAUGGGCCCGCGUUGGAUUAGCUAGUUGGUAGGGUAAAAGCCUACCAAGGCGACGAUCCAUAGCUGGUCUGAGAGGAUGAUCAGCCACACUGGGACUGAGACACGGCCCAGACUCCUACGGGAGGCAGCAGUGGGGAAUAUUGGACAAUGGGCGAAAGCCUGAUCCAGCAAUGCCGCGUGAGUGAUGAAGGCCUUAGGGUUGUAAAGCUCUUUUACCCGGGAUAAUAAUGACAGUACCGGGAGAAUAAGCUCCGGCUAACUCCGUG
Molecule: ribosomal RNA, 433 nt
Filed under: uncultured bacterium
Lineage: Bacteria
Description: partial 16S ribosomal RNA
Rfam family: Bacterial small subunit ribosomal RNA
Source: RNAcentral